AGGUCAAGCUAUUAAGAGCAUAGGGUGAAUGCCUUGGCACCAGAAGCCGAUGAAGGACGUGAUAAGCUGCGAAAAGCUGCGGAGAGGCGCAAAUAGCCAUUGACCCGCAGAUGUCCGAAUGGGGGAACCCACCUGGGGUAAAUGCCCAGGUACAUGUAUGUGAAUACAUAGCAUACAUGGGGGAGACGUAGGGAACUGAAACAUCUAAGUACCUACAGGAAAAGAAAACAAAAGUGAUUCCGUAAGUAGUGGCGAGCGAAAGCGGAUUAGCCCAAACCGGGGUACAGCAAUGUAGCCCGGGGUUGAGGACCGGCGGAAUGAUUCGGAGUAUCUAGCAGAAUGAGGCACUGGAACGUGCAGACCAUAGAGGGUAAAAGUCCCGUAUGCGAAAGAUAUGAAGACAGGCCGGGAUCCAGAGUACCACAAGGCACGUGAAACCUGGUGGGAAGCAGGGAGGACCACCUUCCAAGGCUAAAUACUAACUGGUGACCGAUAGUGGAGCAGUACCGUGAGGGAAAGGUGAAAAGAACCCCGGGAGGGGAGUGAAAGAGAACCUGAAACCCUAUGUUUACAAGCAGUUGGAGAGCGUUAAGGCUCGACAGCGUACUUUUUGUAGAACGGUCCGGCGAGUUAUAGUAUGUGGCAAGGUUAAGUACUAGAGGUACGGAGCCGAAGGGAAACCGAGUCUUAACAGGGCGACAAAGUCACAUGCCAUAGACCCGAAACCGGGUGACCUAUCCAUGGACAGGUUGAAGCGGGAGUAAAAUCCCGUGGAGGACCGAACCACGUGACCGUUGAAAAGGUCUGGGAUGAGCUGUGGAUAGCGGAGAAAUUCCAAUCGAACUCGGAGAUAGCUGGUUCUCCCCGAAAUAGCUUUAGGGCUAGCCUCUAAUGAAAGUCUAGCGGAGGUAAAGCACUGAAUGGGCUAGGGGCCUUACCAGGUUACCGAACCCUAUCAAACUCAGAAUGCCGUAUAGACGAUGUUAGGGAGUCAGACUACGGGAGAUAAGUUUCGUAGUCAAAAGGGAAACAGCCCAGACCAUCAGCUAAGGUCCCAAAAUCACAGUUAAGUGGAAAAGGAUGUGGGUUUGCUAAGACAACUAGGAUGUUGGCUUAGAAGCAGCCAUUCAUUCAAAGAGUGCGUAAUAGCUCACUAGUCGAGUGAGCCUGCGCCGAAAAUUACCGGGGCUAAACUGUGUACCGAAGCUAUGGACUCAGAAAUGGGUGGUAGGGGAGCUUACUGUCGUAGGCCGAAGCACGAUCGUGAGGACGUGUGGACGA
Molecule: ribosomal RNA, 1281 nt
Filed under: Clostridium thermosuccinogenes
Lineage: Bacteria; Bacillati; Bacillota; Clostridia; Eubacteriales; Clostridiaceae
Description: bacterial LSU rRNA
Rfam family: Bacterial large subunit ribosomal RNA
Source: RNAcentral